ACAGAGAUAUUUCUCUUCGUUGCUUUUGUACGAAGAGACAAACUGAGAAUAUUUUAAUUAAUUCGUUAAAUAAACGAUAGUGGUGUCUUAUUAUACUAAUAUAAUAUCAAAAUACGACAAACGAGAGGCGUGUAAAGUGGAAAGAAGACAUAUUAUAAUAGAUUUAUGCGAUCCCUCUGACGCAAAACCAAUGGCAUUGUACUUGUAUUAAAGAAAAGCUUGCUCCCAAUUUGGGUUCUCAAGCCAAAGACAUGGCCGUUCGUUUCAAGGUGUAUGGCUUGUGAAUUUUAAGAGACAUUUAAUGUGCAAGGUAUAUUAGGGCUCUUAGAUUAUACCGAUAUAAUAAAUAUAAUCUCCCUUUGAGCCACAAGGUGUACAAUGUCAAAAUAUGAGGAAGGCUGUCUGUGACAUCAAUGUUCAACUGAUGAGAGAUCGAGGGAGCGCGGAAGCCCGAGGGGAGCGAGCUGAGGGUGCCCGGCGGAAACCAACUCACUUUUAGCAGAGGAUACAAAACAUGCUGAAGAUGAAGAUAAUGAAGAUAUUCCAUACCAACAUUGGAUUGAUGAUGAAUUAUCCAAUAUCAAUGAUGAUGACUAUGAAGAUUAAAAAAAAUUAUUGAAAUGUACUAUCAAUAAAUGUAAAAAAAAAAUACAUUAGGUAUUUUUUUUUACAAAUAACAAAAUUUAAAUAAACUACUAUUUCCUCAAAUUGAUUACUGUUAAAAUAAUAGAUGUCCCAAGUACAUCUAAUGAAAAACAUUUUUCUAACUCAACAAAGAUUUGUUCAUAAUAUUAAUUAUUUGAAAUGUAUAUAUUUUUAAUUAUGCGUUUAUUAUUGAUAUCAUUCAACGUGAACAUUUUACUUAAUUAUUACUGAAGAUCCAUUAGAUAAUUAAUAACAAAUUUUACAAAACUAUGCUAUAAAACCGUCUAACAAUCACGAUUGCGUUCAUACACACAGAAAGCCUUUAUAUGUGCUGGGGGAAUGUUAGGCCUCUCUGAGUGGUCUGGCUGCUUGCAAAAAUAUUUGAAUUAGUUUCCUGAGUAUCAUAUACAAAAACAGCACUGAGACUUUAAGUAAUGUAAGUAUAAUUUUUAUCUACCUUUCGCACCUAGUACCUGUAAAUUGGCCGGCUCAAGCUAGCAGGUAUGCAUACUCUUAUUGUAUAUACUAACACUACGUUAUUUUAUAUAUUUUAUUUCUGAGAAAAUAAGUAAAGUCUGGGGGCUCUGGGACCUUGGACUAUAAGAAUACAUUCGCAGACCGUAUUCUGUCAAUCGCUGAAAGAUAUUUCAAACAAAUGUUGAACUGUUGACAGUUAUGUAAAAUUAACAUUGUGGUUAAGUUUUAUUAUAUUUUAUAAUCUUCCGCUCCAGUUCCUUAAUUUUUUCUUUCAUAAGAACCUUCUCCUGAUAAUAAUAAAUACAACAAAAAAGAAUUAGCGAAAUUGUUCCAUCCGUUCACGGGUAAUGCGAUGACAAAAGGAAUAGAGAUUUAUUUUUAUAUAUUACUAGAUGACCCGGUGAACUUCGUAUCACCUACGUAAUUAUAAUUAGUUCAUUAUUAUUAUUAUAAUUAUUCACUGUGGAACGCAGUUCUGCCAUACCAAUACGAAUGUUACCAUUGUCUGUCUCUCGCUGGUCGAUAGUGCGUUUCGCACGCGUGGUAGCUCGUCGCACAUUUGAUUGACUUCGACGACCUUAAAGUCAGGUCGUCUUCUCCAAGGCAUUGGAAAAUGACAAAUUAGUUUUCCCUGAGACUCGCCGAGCUUCACUGCUCGGUGUCAUAAAAUGCGUGCCACUGCUGAUCCUGGCUUACAGGAGUUGUAGUGGUGCGUGUGAGGGUGGGAAAG
This 1852-nucleotide long non-coding RNA is filed under the name Manduca sexta (tobacco hornworm). RNAcentral's name for it is "uncharacterized LOC119188997, transcript variant X1". Lineage: Eukaryota; Metazoa; Arthropoda; Insecta; Lepidoptera; Sphingidae. The record is from RNAcentral.